UCCGGACUGGUCGCUCCAUGCCUUGCUCGCCCAAUGACCACUCUAAACACUCCUUUUUGAGCUCCAAAUGCCUUCAAGUGUUUCCAAGAACUCCAUGUGGUACUCCAAUACCUGAUAAGGACUCAUGUAUGCAAAAUGCAACCUAAACAUGGCUAAAUCCUAAUCUAUACGAUCAAAAUGCACAUGGAUGAAUGGAUAAAACAAUAGAAAUAUGCAAGCUAUCAGGUAUCAGUGUAAUCAACCAUCGUGAGAGUUAACGUGAAAGCGACACAUAGGAAAGUGACUUCUCAAAUAAUAUUAUAGAGAUAUGUUCCUCUUUAAUAUGGUUGUCAAUAUAUUGGAAUAUACUGUGGCCUAGUUGAUAUUUUUUUGGUACAUAUUAUGUGAAUUUGGGUCCAGCUAUAUAUAUAGUGUAUGACGCAUGGAAAAGAAAAGAAAAGAAAAUAUGUUGUCUGUUGUCAAAAGAGAUCAUCAAAUAAAUUGAUCUGAAGAAAUAAAAGUAUCAUAAUUUAAACUAGAUAUACAGAUCAUCAAAUAAAUGUACAUUUUCUUAAGUAACUUGAAAAACUAUUUACAUUCUUAAACAAAAAAGUUAUAAAUUAUAAUCUCAUUAAAAAUUACGUAUAUUUUCUUCCGUAACUAAAAAUUAUAAAAUGAAAAUUAGUUGAUAUUAUACUAGAAAACUCCUAUUCUAAAUUAGACAUACAGAAAAUAAGUUAUUUAUAAUACUUUUUUAUAAAAUAUAAUUACACAACCAAAAAUAAAUAAUGAAAAUUAGCUGAAUUAAUUAUGCAGUUGGAUUAUAAAAUCGUAUAUCUCUCACAACGAUAUACAUUUAUCCAGCUCAGUCCAAAAUAACUGAUUUUUUUUCCGUAAAAAGGCUUAAAAUAUCAGAUUAUUGAAAGACAUAUCUGAAGCAGAUCGUUAGAUGAGUAUGGAUUCUAGUUCAUCAAUCAAUGAAUUUGAUUAGAUUAUUAUGGAAAUUUGUUCAUAUACUGAUGGAUUGGAUUAAUGUCUAUAUGCAGGAAUGGAUAUAACUGAUUUGAUGUUCAUGCCAGAAGUGAUCAUAUAUAUAUGUCUUAACUCAGAAUUUAAAGCUGCAUGAUUGGGAUGGGAGACUAUUUGAGAAAUCAUAAUGUUAUAUUAUUGUCUCUCUGGUCUUUAAUAAAUUUAUUUGAGAAAGAUGUAUUUUUUGUGUUUUUAUAAAAAAAUUAUAAAAUUCAAGAAAAUUAAUUGAUUUUAUUGAAUUACUAUUGGUUAAAAGUUAUUGAAAAUUAAAAAUUACAGAAAACAAUAUAUUUAUUUUGGUAGAUUAAUGUAUUUUCUUAAUAUAUGUGAAAAUACUAAAAAAACUAUCUUUGUGGAACGGAGAGAGUAAUUUAUAUCUGCAAACCAAGGUAAGAGCUGGGAGACAACGGUUAGACAAACAAACGUGCACAUAACAUUCCUUGCUAAUUUUAUAUCGUAAGCAUAGCUGGAAAUUGCAAAACAAAUUAAAGCUCCAUACAUUUAGCUCAUCUUCUUUAAUUUUGGAAUAAAUGCAUGAAGGGUUUAUAUUUUAGGGUCAUCAAGCCAAUUCACAAAUAAUUUCAUCAAUAAUUUGACGAAAAGAUAAUAAUCUUAGUAUUAUUUGUCUUAUCUAAAAUAUUCAGGAUAAGCAUUUAUAAAAUUACUUUUUACCUCAAUUUCUAUAAUAUUCUUGCCAUUAAUCUAUUAUAUUCUGUAAUUAGUUUAGUUAUGUUUAUCUAGUAGUAUAUAAUUUGUGACAAUACAAUAAUACAAAAGUAACUAGUCUAAUGUAGAAGACCAUCGUAAAGUAUAUUUGAUCUUUGUCAUGUAGGUUUAAAGAUAAUUUUGGACUAUCUCCCUAAUAAUUCAUAUUGUCACUUGACCAAUAGUCACCGAGGGACCAAUCGAUCCAAUAGAUUCUCAGAACUGGGGUCAUGAAUUCACUUAUAUCCAAAAAGAGACAAAGUUGAAAAUAUCAGACAACUUGAAAUUUAAACAAUACACAUCUUUUUUAUUCUAACACAAACAGUACUCAUCAAUUGCGUUAAAUUAAACAAAUUUUCCAUUUUGUUGUAAAAAAACCUAAGAAAUGUUUCAAUUUCUGCUUUUAUGCCGACCUUGACGGGAAUCUUUAUCCCUUAUCAGUCGGUCCAUAAUUUUGUCGACUCGGAAACAAGAGGUAAACUGAAAAAAAAAAUCAUAAAAUAUACCACAAAACUCGAAAUCAAAUCCAUACAUGUCGACAAUAAUACAUUAUUCAUCAUCAUGAUCAUGCAUGACCCAUGGGAAUAUCUGGCUCAUCUUCCAACUCAAUCCCAAGCUCAGCUAGUCUUUUGUCCUUGUAAACGUACCACUUGGAGAAAACGAGGAAAAUAAGGAAGUUCAAAGUAACAAUUACGGCCACAAGCCAAUAGAAAUUGUAUAGACGGCCAUUGUUGAGAUCAUCAGCGAUCCAAGGGUGAGCUUUAUCCGUGAAUUUCUCAACAAUAGUCACGAGAACAGAGCUGAAGAAAAAUCCUAACGCCAAUGUGCUCAAUAAAAGCCCCGUGCUCAUCGUUUUCAUACCUUUAGGACAUUCUCUUAAGAAAAAAUCCAACUGUCCUGUGUAUAUCAAGGCUUCGCCGAUACCAACAAUAAGGUAUUGUGGAAUGAGUAGAUAAAACCCUAGAGGAAGCGAUUUUAAUAGCAACUAGCCUUUGACCCGCGCGUCCGCGCGGAUAAAUUUUUCGUAAUUAUAUGUUUUCACUUUUAAAUGGUUUAUAUAAACAUAAUUGUUUAUGUUCUUAUUAUAGAUUCAUAUGUUAUUGAGUUUCGAUAUAUUUGUUUCUUGUUCAAUGUGUUGAGGGUCCAUUAAUAAACCAUGAGAUUGUGUUUUUUUUUUAUUGUGCUUUUAUUCAUUUUACUUGGUAAAAUAAAUAUUAAAGUGCAAAAUAUUAGAAUUUUAAGUAUAUUUGUGGGUUUUAUGAAAUUAAACUAUAAAUAUUGAGCUUUAAAGUUGAAUAUAAAGUUCUUACAUUGAUAUUUUUAAGAACAGACAAAAACCUAAGAAAAAAUAGAAGCAAGUUAGGAAAAAAAUCAAAUAAGUACAAAUUUUUGCAAAUUUUAUUUAGCAAGCCUAAUUUAGGUUACUGAAUUAGGCCAUUUUGUUAUAAAUAAAAAUUUGGUACGUCAUAUUUUACAGUUACAUAGUGGAUUGUCUAUAGUAGACAUCAAGAACUUCUUCGAAGCCCAUAUAUUUUUUUCGAAAAAAAAAAAUAUAUAUAUUUAGCUUCUAGCGACUUUUCUCAUUUUUUAGAGGGAAAUGUUCUAAAAAGACAUUUUCUGGUACAGCUGGUUGCCCAUUUCAAUAGCUAGCUAGACAGUGAAAAUGAACCAUACAUUUUUAUAAACUAUGAAAUUAAAUUGUGUUUUUCUUUUAUUUUGAUUUUAUUCAUUUUACUUGGUAAAAUAAAUAUUAAAAUAUAAAAUAAUUGAGUUUUAAGUAUACUUGUAGAUUUUAUGAAAUUAAACUAUAAAUAUUGAGAUUUAUUGUACUUCUUCUUGGGAUUUAAAGUUGAUCCUUUAUUUUUAGUAUUAUGAUAUGCUAUAUCAUUUUUUACAUGCAAUUAAAUAUUUUUAAUAAUGUUUUUCUUGUUAUUAUUUAACUUAUAUUUUAAAACAUAACUUUAAAAAUAUUUUUUUUAAAAUAAUAAUAUAUAUAUAUAUAUCAAAAUUGGUUACCAAUUUAAGAUCAGUACAUCAAAAUAAACCAAAAUAAACCAAGUUUUUUAAGAAAAAGAAUAAAAACUAAAUAAAAAUCUAAAACCUACGCCGUCUCUAUCUUCUCUCCUUCUCCGCCUCUCUUCUUCUUCUUGUUCGGCCUCCACCACCAUCGCAACCAUGAAACAAAUUAAUAUUGCUUUCUAUGUUGAAUCAAUCUAAAUUAAUCUAUUUAGAACUAAUCUAUAACAACACUUGUAAGCAAAUCGAAAAAGGAACCACAUUCAGACUUGAAACGAAAAUCAGAAUCGGGAGAAUGAAAUUUGAGGAUGAAAUGUGAAACUUCAAGCACCCAUUAGGAUAGGAACUCUAUACAUCAAACGAAGACACAACUUCACGGGAGAGAAGGAGAAUAACCUUUAAACAUGUGAAAUGAUUGACUUUCGCAAGCUCAAUGCGUCUCAUAUUAAAUUUUUUUUUUUUCAUAUUAAAAUUUUGAUUGAGCCGUCAAACAGAAUUUCUAUUUUCCAUCACCACCGUUCUCCUCCAACAAUCUAUCACCGGAGUUUCUCAAUCAAAAAAAAAUUGAACGCAAUCACUUCACAUGAAAUCAUGGAUUCUUCAAACAACUCAUAAUAAAUUUUCGAGAACCAAAUCAAUCGCUUAAAAAACUUCAUCAAAAACCUUAAGAU
This is a long non-coding RNA of Brassica rapa (field mustard), 4400 nucleotides long. RefSeq lists it as uncharacterized. The record is from RefSeq and is a predicted model, not a curated record. NCBI's taxonomy places the organism in Eukaryota, Viridiplantae, Streptophyta, Magnoliopsida, Brassicales, Brassicaceae.